RNAcentral lists this ribosomal RNA (2955 nucleotides) under Halobacteroides halobius DSM 5150. Its description in RNAcentral is "bacterial LSU rRNA". It matches the Rfam family "Bacterial large subunit ribosomal RNA". Lineage: Bacteria; Bacillati; Bacillota; Clostridia; Halanaerobiales; Halobacteroidaceae. The record is from RNAcentral.
UAAACUAGUAAGGGCGUAUGGUGGAUAUCUAGGCGCUAGAAGCCGAAGACGGACGUGGCAAGCUGCGAUAAGCCUUGGUAAGCUGCAAACAAGUGAUAAUCCAGGGAUUUCCUAAUGAGAGCACUUAACAUGGUAACCCAUGUUAUCUUAGAGCUAACUAGAAUAACUCUAAGAGGGUAACGGGGCGAACUGAAACAUCUUAGUAACCCUAGGAAAAGAAAGAAAAUCGAUUCCCUAAGUAGCGGCGAGCGAAAGGGGAAGAGUCCAAACUGUAAUAGUGUAUAAGCUUAUGGGCAUUGCUAUUACAGGGUAGUAGGUCUAUUAUGAUACUACCAUAAAAGUAUUAUAGAUAUCUUUUUAGUUAAUUGAAGUAGUUGGGAAGCUACACCACAGAUGGUAAUAGUCCAGUAGAUGAAAACUAAAAAGGAUCUAAAUAGCACCUAAGUACCAUGAGUCACGUGGAACCUCGUGGGAAGCAAGGAGGACCAUCUCCUAAGGCUAAAUACUAACUAGCGACCGAUAGUGAACCAGUACCGUGAGGGAAAGAUGAAAAGAACCCCGGGAGGGGAGUGAAAUAGACCUUGAAACCAUAUGCUUACAAGCGGUCAGAGGGCGUAUGUGCCUGAUGGCGUGCUUUUUGCUUAACGAACCGGCGAGUUAUGUUAAGUGGCACAGGUUAAGCCAAAAAGGUGAAGCCGAAGCGAAAGCGAGUCUGAAGAGGGCGUAAGUCGCUUAGCAUAGACCCGAAACCGAGUGAUCUAUCCAUGGCCAGGAUGAAGCAUGUGUAAUAGCAUGUGGAGGUCCAAACCGCAUUGACGUUGAAAAGUCAUGGGAUGAGCUGUGGAUAGGGGUGAAAGGCCAAUCGAACUCGGAGAUAGCUGGUUCUCCCCGAAAUAGCUUUAGGGCUAGCCUUAAGAUUGCUAUAUUGGCUGUAGAGCACUGAUUGGACUAGGGGCUUACCCAAGCUACCGAAUCCAGUCAAACUCCGAAGGCUGAUAUAGAGAACUUAAGAGUCAGACUAUGUGGGAUAAGCUUCAUAGUCGAGAGGGAAACAACCCAGACCGCCAGUUAAGGUCCCAAAGUGUAAACUAAGUGGCAAAGGAAGUGAGACUGCCUAGACAACCAGGAUGUUGGCUUAGAAGCAGCCAUUCAUUUAAAGAGUGCGUAAUAGCUCACUGGUCGAGUGGUCUUGCGCCAAAAAUAUACGGGGCUUAAGUUUACCACCGAAACUGCGGAUUGGUUAAUCCAAUGGUAGGGGAGCAUUCUAUACGGGAAGAAGUAGUACCGAAAGGAGCUAUGGACUGUAUAGAAGCGAUAAUGCCGGUAUGAGUAACGAGAAAUAGGUGAGAAUCCUAUUCGCCGAAAGUCCAAGGUUUCCUGAGCAAGGCUCGUCCGCUCAGGGUAAGUCGGGUCCUAAGCCAAGGCCGAAAGGCGUAGGUGAUGGAUAGUCGGUUAAAAAUCCGACACUACCUAUUAGCAUUUGAGUGAAGAGGUGACGCAGGAAGAUAGGUUUGCCUGAGAACGGUAUAUCAGGUUGAAGCACUAAGGAGGAUGAUUUAGGUAAAUCCGGAUCAUCAUUAACUCUAAGGUGUGACCAGGAGUUUCUACGGAAACGAAGCAAUUGAUUCUCCACUGCCAAGAAAAACCUCUAACAAGUUAGUAGGUACCCGUACCGUAAACUGACACAGGUGGACUAGAUGAGAAUUCUAAGGCGCGCGAGAGAACCUUCGUCAAGGAACUCGGCAAAUUAGCCCCGUAACUUAGGGAGAAGGGGUACCUCAUUAGCGUUAUGCGCAAAGAGGUUGCAACAAAGAAGCUUAGGCGACUGUUUACCAAAAACACAGGUCUCUGCUAAGACGCAAGUCGAAGUAUAGGGGCUGACGCCUGCCCGGUGCUGGAAGGUCACGGGGAGAUGUUAGGAACUAUGUUCUAAAGCAUCGAACUUAAGCCCCAGUGAACGGCGGCCGUAACUAUAACGGUCCUAAGGUAGCGAAAUUCCUUGUCGGGUAAGUUCCGACCUGCACGAAUGGCGAAACGACCUAAGCACUGUCUCGACGAAGGACUCGGUGAAAUUGAAGUGUCUGUGAAGAUGCAGACUACCCGCGACUGGACGGAAAGACCCCGUGGAGCUUUACUGCAGUCUGAUAUUGAAUUUUGGUACACUAUGUACAGUAUAAGUGGGAGGCUUUGAAAUCGGCACGCUAGUGUCGAUGGAGCCAUCAUUGGGAUACCACUCUUAUUGUGCCGUGAUUCUAACCAAGCGCUAUAAUCUAGUGCUGGGACAGUUUCAGACGGGCAGUUUGACUGGGGCGGUCGACUCCUAAAGAGUAACGGAGUCGCCCAAAGGUUCCCUCAGUGUGGUCGGAAAUCACACGUAGAGUGUAAAGGCAUAAGGGAGCUUGACUGCAAGACAUACAGGUCGAGCAGGUACGAAAGUAGGGCUUAGUGAUCCGAUGGCUAAGAAUGGAAUUGCCAUCGCGCAACGGAUAAAAGUUACCCCGGGGAUAACAGGCUUAUCUCCCCCAAGAGUUCACAUCGACGGGGAGGUUUGGCACCUCGAUGUCGGCUCGUCGCAUCCUGGAGCUGGAGCAGGUUCCAAGGGUUGGGCUGUUCGCCCAUUAAAGCGGCACGCGAGCUGGGUUCAGAACGUCGUGAGACAGUUCGGUCCCUAUCCGUCGUGGGCGCAGGAUAUUUGAGAGAAACUAUCCCUAGUACGAGAGGACCGGGAUGGAUGUACCGCUGGUGGAUCAAUUGUCAACCAUUGGCAUUGUUGAGUAGCUAAGUGCGGAACUGAUAAGCGCUGAAAGCAUCUAAGCGUGAAGCAGAUCUCAAGAUUAGAUAUCCCAUGGAAUAAUCCAGUAAGAUCCCUGAUAGAACUAUCAGGUAGAUAGGCCAGAGGUGUAAGUGUGGUAACACAUUAAGCUGACUGGUACUAAUAGAGCGAGGGUUUAAUCU